GCCACUCAUUCAAAGAGUGCGUAAUAGCUCACUGGUCGAGUGAUCCUGCGCCGAAGAUUUCCGGGGCUAAAACUUACUACCGAAGCUACGGCAUCAGUAAUGAUGGGUAGGGGAGCUUCCCAUACGGGUUGAAGCAUGACCGUAAGGACAUGUGGACAGUAUGGGAGUGAGAAUGUUGGCAUGAGUAGCGAGAUGUGGGUGAGAAUCCCACAGGCCGUAAACCCAAGGUUUCCAGGGGAAGGUUCGUCCGCCCUGGGUUAGUCGGGACCUAAGCUGAGGCCGAAAGG
RNAcentral lists this ribosomal RNA (287 nucleotides) under Clostridioides difficile. RNAcentral describes it as "partial 23S ribosomal RNA". It matches the Rfam family "Bacterial large subunit ribosomal RNA", at positions 1115 to 1409 of the family's 2925-position model. Lineage: Bacteria; Bacillati; Bacillota; Clostridia; Peptostreptococcales; Peptostreptococcaceae. The record is from RNAcentral.